Molecule: long non-coding RNA, 202 nt
Organism: Salvia miltiorrhiza (redroot sage)
Lineage: Eukaryota; Viridiplantae; Streptophyta; Magnoliopsida; Lamiales; Lamiaceae
Exons: 3
Source: RefSeq, a predicted model, not a curated record
UUUUCAGAAAUCUUGUCAGGAAGUUAAGCAGUUGAUACGAUUGAUAAAACCAGAGGCUGUUCUCGUGGAGCUUUGCCCUAGUCGCGCUAAAUAUCUUAAGCCUAAAACAGGCGAGAGUAAUACUGGGGGAGAGUUUCAAGUGGCGUAUGAGGAAGCCAACGAGUAUGGUGCCAAGGUUGUACUUGGUGAUCGACCUAUUGGU